Molecule: long non-coding RNA, 1388 nt
Organism: Drosophila sechellia
Lineage: Eukaryota; Metazoa; Arthropoda; Insecta; Diptera; Drosophilidae
Exons: 3
Source: RefSeq, a predicted model, not a curated record
AGUCUAGUGCUCGCGCACCCAGGAAUGCUCGUCUAAUUUAUGGACUCCAUACUCCUCCAUUGCUUUUAAUUAGUCGGGAAUAAAUAUAAUCGCCAGCAGAGCUAGAUCCCAAUCUGUCCGGCUGCAACAAAGUCGCCUGCAGCCAAGCAGCCAGGCAGCGAUCACGUCGAAGAUAUCGCUAUCGAUUCCAGCGCUCGGGGCCCCCAGUCCGUACCCAAAUCGGAGAAUCGGGCGGUCACGGUGACGGGGAGCCUUUGUGCUUAAUCACCCAGCGGACGGUGGACCUUUGAAGUGGCCUUUGGGGCCGCCGUGGGUUAAUUGCGAGCCGCUCAUUGGGUGGCAAAUCAAUUUAAGAGCAGCAAGAAACAGUGCUUCGUUGGCAUUCCAUUCCUGGAAUUCCCCUUUUCCCGGCAGUGGUGGUCAGGUGGUCAGGUGGUCAGGUGCUCGGGCGACCCUCAAUGUCAGCGUUCGACAGAAAUUCGUAUAGCAUGAGUAUCUGGAUAGUGUUGAACUAAUUCACUAAUUAAACCAAAUGUUUCAUAAGUGCGAAUUAAUACCACAGCUGUGAGUCAAGGUGACAGUCGUUAUUGGCAACCCAAAGUCCCGGCUUCACAGAAGACCACAUUAAAUGGCUUUUAUUAAUGAUUAUGAUUUCGCAUACAUUAAACCCUCUGGCCGCAGUGGCUUUGGACCCAGGCCCAAAGAGCGGCCCAGUGGCCCACAAUGUGAAACUGGCGCGCGCAUAAUGAUUAGUCCAAGAGCAGAUGGAUGAGGGCAGAGGACAGAGGGCGGAGGGCAGAGACGAAAACAAUACUGGAAUAAAUGACGAAAACUUAUUUUUGAAAUUCAAAUCGAAGCGCAGUCGAGGCCCUUUGGGUCUGCCUGCGAGUCUGGGCCCAAGUGGAUUUCUUUGUAUGCCUGGGCACGCCGGCGACAACUGGGAACUUUAAUUAAAAUAAACGUUUGCGGGCCAAAUUAGCAUAUCAAAAGACCCAACUCAGCCCAGUCAGUCAGCCAAGUCAGUCAAGUAAUCCACUCAGUCAGCUCAGACGGGAAAGGUGGCUCGGACUCCCGAUGGUUUUACGAUUUUCCGCCGUUUUGGUCCCGGCAUUUGCAUUAUAAAUAAGUUUUGUUUUCGCCGGCAUGCGUAAUUUGAUGCACUGAAGCUGGGCGAAACUACAAUUAAUCGUUAGAAAAAUGCCAUAAAUUAGAUUACCCGGCGAAAUGCGACGCAAGCUUUGCGCCGAUUAUCGCCAGUUCGAACAAAAAUAUAACCUGCAGCCCAUAGCACACACAUAAAUGUAAUCAGGGGUUUGUAUAACUGGAGGCGAACAAUGAGGCCAUAAUUUAAGGCAUAAUGGCCGAAAUCCGACUGGGCCUGCACCGCA